AUAAGAUAUCCAUUGAAUAUUUUCAAGUGUGUUUUAUAAUUAGAAAAUACUUGAUUCUUAUAAAAUCUUUGAGAUUACAACCAUCUAUCUAUACAUUGCUGAAAUAAGAAAAGAUUAUUGACCCAAGAAUGUAAAAAGAGAAGUACAAAAAGUAAAGUAUUUUUGACUUUUCAUCUAGAUAUUAGAUACCUUGUAAAUAUAGGUACCUUUGAAAAGCAGAUCUCUGUAGUAUUUCUUUUAAAUUAUGAAAAACUAGAAAACAGAAAGGCAAGUGUAAAAUGACUAUGUUAGAUAAUUUAUUUUCUUAUUAAUGCAAUGAAUAAAGAAGUAGACAUGAUCUUAAACUGACAGUGACAGAAUCCAAUAAAUAUAACCACAAUGUUAUCAUAUGUUCUGUUAAGCAGGAACUAUAAAACUGCCUCUUCUGAAUGGCUCCCACAAUUUAUUAAACUUCACACUUAAUGAUACAGGUGUGACUUUGGAACACUGCAUUGGUGUAGUACCCAGACUGUACAGAAAACAUGGCAACAUCUGCUUCUGAGGAGGCCUCAGGGAGCUUUAAUUCAUGCAGAAGGCAAAGAUGGAGCAGGCAUCUUCAUGGCAAGAGCAGGACCAAGAGAGAGCGGAGAGCUGCCGUAUACUUUUAAACAACCAAAUCUCAUGAAACUCACUAUCACAAUUAACAGAAACAAAAGGAAAAUCUGACCCCCAUGAUCUAGUCACUUUCCCAUCAGGUCCCUCCCUUGAAGAAUGGAGAUUACAAUUACAAUGAAAUUUGAAUGGGGACACAGACACAAAUAUCAGGUGGGGAUACAGAUUCAAACCACAUCAUUGGGCAAUUUGAAAGUCCUCUUGACUUGAUCUCUUUGCUUGCAUUAUUGCUCUGCUACAAUCUAAUCCCAACAUAACAAACCGAGUAAUUUUGAUAAAUUGUGAUUCAGAUUAUGUGUCACUAUUCUGCACAAACCCUCUGAUACUGGUUUUAUUUAAACCUACAGUUCCCUACGUGUUCUGAACCAUAUUCAUUCACAGAUUUAAUCACUAAUUACUCUUCUUCUUACUUAUUCUGCUUUAAAUCCAUUGAUCUCCUUGUACUUCUUCAAAUAUUCCAAGUGUGUUACUGCCUUAAGAUACUUCUAUUAGCACUUCCUUAUAAUAUUCUUAUAAAAUCCUUAAAAUAGACAUAUAAAAUUCUUAAAAUAUUCUUAACUAACUGCCUCAUUGUCUACAAGAUUUUGCUCAAAUGUCACCUUCUGCCUGAAGCUCAUACUGACCACUCUUAUCCCUGACUUUGAUACUCCUAAUAUUGUUACUGAAAUGUCAGGGGUUUGGUCCAGGUCCUGCUAUUUACCACACAGAAAGCCAUUCACUGAGACAAUGAGUAUUGCCAGGGAGGAAGGCUUUAAUCAGGUGCUACACUUGAGGAGAUAGGAAAUAAUUCUCAAAUCCGUCUCCCUGACCAACUAAAAUUAGGGGUUUUUAUAGUAGGAAAGAAAUGUAACCAUGUGUGAGAAAAGAGAAUGUUCAAGGGAUAAGUAAGAUGAGUUUGUCAAUCAUAAAAAGCAGGUGGUUGGUUGGGCAAUCAUUGCAGGGGUCCUGCAUCUCAUUGCCCAGAUGUGGUAAUGUGGAAGAUUCAGUUCCUGGAUGCUAUCUGGGAGACCUGAUGGUUCGUUUCCUGAGAGGGGAUCCCAGACAAGACAAAUACAACUUUCUCAAGUUUUAAUACUGGGAGAGUCAAUUUCUAUGUUUAUUCAGAUGAAACCACAAACAUCAGUUCUAUGAGAAAAUUGGGUGGGUUUUAGUCUCCCACUUUCAAUUUAUCAAUUCCUCAUCUAUGGAAAAUGUAGUCAUCAAUCUUUCUGGCUGCUACAUUUUGAGAAGGGACAUUGUCGGCAGGUUUAUACCAGGAGCAACUGCAUGGCCACCCAGGAAUCAAAUAUUAAACACUAUGGGUUUCUUCUGAAACAUAGUCAUUUUCUCUUCAGUCCUUCACUUGCACCAAAGACAAAACACAGCAGUACCAACCUAUCUACAAAGUAAGCUUCAGUCCCACCAUACUUGGUCUGAAUAACCACACAAAAUACAGCAAGAAUCACUGUCCAACUGGGCUCUCCUAAAUGGGCUUUGCUGGAAUCUCUCAUUAGGAAUCUCAGACUUGACUUCCAAAGGCCUCCUGAGCCCAGUCAAGGAUCCAUCUGCACCUAAAAAUACCUGCAAGAAUUGGGUGAACCCAUCUCUUCUUGAGACCCCCAAACAGCUUGAGGUUUCCAGGUCUCUCAAAAAGUGAUACUCUCUAUUUUCCAUUGGCCAGGAACCCUAUGGAAAGGAACUUCAUAAACUAUAAGGCCAGUUUUUCUAAGGGGUUUUCAUCCACUCUGCAAAGUCAACCUCAAUUUCUCAAAGCAGUAUGCUCAUUCAGAAAACAUGUCAUUUUAGUCAAAGCCUUGGAAAAUAACGAGUUCCAACUAUGCGCCAUUAGAAAAGAAAAUAUAUGCAAACAAACACAUUGCCAUAAAUUAAGAAUAUAGAGUUUCAAAAUUCUGAAGAAAUCAGGCAGAGAGAGAAAUAUGUCUCAAAUCUGUUUAAAAACAUAUACUCCUCUCAAUUCUUAAACAAUACAAAUAGGCCAAAAGAAAAAAGCUCCCUCAACUCUGAUAAACAAAAAAAAAAAAAAAAAACAGAAGAAAGAAUCAGCAUUUUUU
Long non-coding RNA from Cebus imitator (Panamanian white-faced capuchin), 2702 nucleotides. RefSeq lists it as uncharacterized. The record is from RefSeq and is a predicted model, not a curated record. Lineage: Eukaryota; Metazoa; Chordata; Mammalia; Primates; Cebidae. The transcript is spliced from 2 exons.